RNAcentral lists this long non-coding RNA (273 nucleotides) under Neodiprion lecontei (redheaded pine sawfly). RNAcentral's name for it is "uncharacterized LOC124294482". The record is from RNAcentral. Lineage: Eukaryota; Metazoa; Arthropoda; Insecta; Hymenoptera; Diprionidae.
CUGGAAAAAAAAACUCUGUCCAGAAGUUUUUGAGGUCACUGAUUACGAAACUGAAAUCAGAUCUUGAAAAUUCAGUACGGCGAAUCCAAUCAGCGAGCCCAAAAACCCUUGUAUUCGUAAUCAGCGACCCGAAAAACCCAUACACGGAGAGAAAAAUUUGAGAGAAAUUACCCUGCUGUCUAUAAUCGUGAUGUAAAAGACACCUAAUGGAUUUUUUAUUGAGGCAUGUUACAAAAAUUAUAGGUUUUUGUGAAAAAAAUUACUACCUUGCUU